CAAGUAUGGCAACAUGACAGAGGACCAUGUGAUGCACCUGCUCCAGAAUGCUGACCCCCUGAAGGUGUACCCGCCACUGAAGGGGAGCUUCCCGGAGAACCUGAGACACCUUAAGAACACCAUGGAGACCAUAGACUGGAAGGUCAGCAGAGCUGGAUGCACCAUUGGCUCCUGUUUGAAAUGAGCAGGCACUCCUUGGAGCAAAAGCCCACUGACGCUCCACCGAAAGUCACUGGAACUGGAGGACCCGUCUUCUGGGCUGGGUGUGACCAAGCAGGAUCUGGGCCCAGUCCCCAUGUGAGAGCAGCAGAGGCGGUCUUCAACAUCCUGCCAGCCCCACACAGCUACAGCUUUCUUGCUCCCUUCAGCCCCCAGCCCCUCCCCCAUCUCCCACCCUGUACCUCAUCCCAUGAGACCCUGGUGCCUGGCUCUUUCGUCACCCUUGGACAAGACAAACCAAGUCGGAACAGCAGAUAACAAUGCAGCAAGGCCCUGCUGCCCAAUCUCCAUCUGUCAACAGGGGCGUGAGGUCCCAGGAAGUGGCCAAAAGCUAGACAGAUCCCCGUUCCUGACAUCACAGCAGCCUCCAACACAAGGCUCCAAGACCUAGGCUCAUGGACGAGAUGGGAAGGCACAGGGAGAAGGGAUAACCCUACACCCAGACCCCAGGCUGGACAUGCUGACUGUCCUCUCCCCUCCAGCCUUUGGCCUUGGCUUUUCUAGCCUAUUUACCUGCAGGCUGAGCCACUCUCUUCCCUUUCCCCAGCAUCACUCCCCAAGGAAGAGCCAAUGUUUUCCACCCAUAAUCCUUUCUGCCGACCCCUAGUUCCCUCUGCUCAGCCAAGCUUGUUAUCAGCUUUCAGGGCCAUGGUUCACAUUAGAAUAAAAGGUAGUA
This 895-nucleotide long non-coding RNA is filed under the name Homo sapiens (human). RNAcentral describes it as "HSALNT0096177". Lineage: Eukaryota; Metazoa; Chordata; Mammalia; Primates; Hominidae. The record is from RNAcentral.